This is a long non-coding RNA of Dromaius novaehollandiae (emu), 694 nucleotides long. RefSeq lists it as uncharacterized. NCBI's taxonomy places the organism in Eukaryota, Metazoa, Chordata, Aves, Casuariiformes, Dromaiidae. The transcript has 5 exons. The record is from RefSeq and is a predicted model, not a curated record.
AUUGCUCUUUGAACCUACGGGAGCAGGAAACGCAUUAAAGGCCCGAGAGGACAGGGAUUCAGUGCCAACCAGCACAUUCCUCAUCUCCUUUCAUCCUGCAAGAGGAGAGUGCUUCUGGCUUCUCCAGAAGCGAUAUUACUAGAUUUUGUUCAAAUUUAAGGCUGAUCUCAAGAGUUAACUACCCUUCUGGAUGGGCUUACUAGCUUAUCUCUGAGAAGACAGCAGGGAGGUCCAGAGGGAUGAAGAGCUAGAAAGGGAGGACUGCUCUGCUGGAUGGAGGGAAAGGCAGUUGAACAGACGGAGCUAAGAGGCAGGCCUAAAACCCAUACUUUUUGAUUUUUGCAUGCUACUACAUUUGGGAGGAUUUGUGUAAGAAAGUAACAAUAAUCUCAUCAGAAAAUGGAGGAUAAUAUGAAUUUCAGUAAGUGUGAAAAGCUGGGACAAGCUGUGCAUAAACAUUCUGUUGAAGCAGCUUUCUGCCAGUGCCUGGUCUCCCUCACAUUUCGUUGUGAAAGGUGAUCAGAAGAGAAAUACGGAUUUAAGGUACAAGAAGACUAAGCUGUCACACUGGCUGUCUGUGUCACAGCAAGGAGAAGAACCUGCAUUUUCCACUCUUAGCACUGUAACCUUGAUCUCUACUAGCAACACCCAUCUUGAAGCUUUUGCAUACUGAUGUUCCAAAUAAAAGUUUGUG